AGCUGUGACUUGUGAGUUGACAAACUGUGAAAGUUAAUUCAUAUAGAAGAGCGUAUUUUUAUGAAAAUAAAAUAAUACGAGACGGGCUGUUGCCUAAUAAACGGUUACUGUUGACCAGGUUUAAGAGAAACGUUACACUUUGUCAGUUCCAAUCAUAUAUUCACUUUUUAAAAUGCGAAACGAGCCGGUUUCACCACUCUACGCCUAUCUCAGCUGAAGUUUAUCACAGCUUAUGACUAAGAAUGAACGAUGAACAAGGACUUGGAGAGUGCAUUACCACCUGUCACAGCUGUUGGACGUCAUUCCAUCACGUGCGGUCAUCCGCCAUCUGCGCGGUACAAUAAAAUUUCUGAGAAAAUCCGCCAGACAACGCCACUAGAUGUGCAGUGUUCGAUGUUCUGUGGUGGCCAAAAGUGCAAGUACGACAGCGAUACCUACUGGAAGACAGAAGAUAUGGCCCUUAAUGGAAUAUUUUCUCAUUGGUAUGUAG
Long non-coding RNA from Limulus polyphemus (Atlantic horseshoe crab), 490 nucleotides. RefSeq lists it as uncharacterized. NCBI's taxonomy places the organism in Eukaryota, Metazoa, Arthropoda, Merostomata, Xiphosura, Limulidae. The transcript is spliced from 3 exons. The record is from RefSeq and is a predicted model, not a curated record.